This is a non-coding RNA of Podarcis lilfordi (Lilford's wall lizard), 7732 nucleotides long. NCBI's taxonomy places the organism in Eukaryota, Metazoa, Chordata, Lepidosauria, Squamata, Lacertidae. The record is from the annotation of a GenBank genome assembly.
AGCGCUGGUGAUUCUUGACGUAGGCAUAAUCACCCUUUCCUAGCAGAUAAACCUUCUGCUCUUGGCACAUAGAUGAAGGCCGUGAUACAGUGGCUCUUAACAUAUGCAUGGAAUUUUGCGUGAGCAUAUCAGAGUGGGACUCGUGACUAAGGGGUUGCUCAGCUUCUGCCGUGAGAAUUCCCCACUUGCUUCUCCAAACAGAAUCUGCCUCUCUUUCUCAAAUCUUCCUGUCAGCUUACCCAUCUUCACUUUUAUCAGGGCCAAGCGUCUGAGUCGAUGAAGGAAUCCGUUCUUGCCUUCAGAUGUUUGUAUCUUUUCUUACAGCAAUAGAUCUCCCGUUCUGAUGUUUCCUCCCCUCCCAGAUAUGAGAUAUGAGGAUGCUUGCCGCCAUCAGGGCCCCAUGAUUUGAUGUCUCCCCAUGGAAACCUUCAUCCCAUAACGUUACUUGUGUGGUUUAGAGCAUGCCCUAGCGGAGCAGUCAGAGUUCUGCCACCCAUCCUGAUAAGCAAUAUUGAAGUGCCUUGAAAUAACAGAAUUCUGGUUGUCUUUCAUGUGCUGUGCUUCUCCUCCCCUCCCCACCCUGGUGCCUGUGGAGCAUAUCGUAAAUAUUGUGUAACCUUCUCUUUCCUUUUUUCCUCCCUAGGCCCAAGCAGAUCUGUCUUGUGUAAAAUCUAGAAGCAUAGCUUGCUUUAGGGCAGGUGGUUCAUUGCAGGGACCCUUAUUCACAGAACUGAAGCACUCUUAGGCCAAAUCAAAGAAGAUGUUGCCGCUUUGCCAGCAGCUGCAAAUUUGAAGCAGGAAAGCGCUUGAGAUUUCAGUAUAUAUUUGGCACUGUAUUGUCAUUUUGGUUCCUUCCAUCAUUUCUGUUUUGGCUUUGAAGUGAAAGGCUGGCAUGGACUUACAGAAUCAUUUGUGCAAGCCCUUCUCCAUCCAAAAUCUGAUUCUUGUGUCUUUGGCAAGAAGGUUUUGGCUGGCUUUUCCAAUUAGUUCUCAACUAGGCUUGGUUGGAUUUGGGUCCUGGCGAGGUGUGCCAUUUGCAAUCCGGUUUUCAGUCUUGGGAAAUCUAGCAUAACGGCCCCUGGUUGGCAAGUUCAUUGCAGCGCAAAGAAUUACAAACCAGUAGUUGUUAGUCACGGUGGUGAAAAACUACAUUAAGAGGUCACAUUUCAAGUGUAGUUCUGUAUUCUACAGCACCUCAUGCAUAGGCGCUUUCCCUGAUACUUUCUUUUACAGAAAACUCCUUGCAAUUUUUUUUAUGGCUGAAGCCUACUGCCAUGCAGUAGUUCUCUGCCAGCCCCCCCCCCCCAAAAAAAAAACCAUGGGAAAAUAUUCUAGAGAAUUGUAAUGGAAGGGCCAUAGGUCAGUAAGGAAGCACAUUUCCAACCUGUGCUACAGAAAACCCUGCCCUUGGGGGAAUCUACGUUGAGAAUACCAAUUAUAGCAGGCAAGCUUCCUUGAAAAGGCAGCACUAUUCAUGCAAGUCUGCAGCCUUGGCUAAUGUCCCACAUGAACUAAGGCCAUGCCCAGAGCCCAUCCAGAAUCGUUGACACGAUUCGUCUGGCAUUGCAUGGAUUAUUGUGCAACGCCCCAAAGGUGAAGACUGCAGCUCACGCUACUUAGUCAGCCACAUUGCACUACUGAGAAUAAUUCCAGUUUGCCAACAAGGCUUUGUACAGUCCUAGAAGGCAUCCAGCAGGGGAGCAUGAACACCCACCACUGCCUUCAUGGCCCUUUCUUUCCAAGUGGGUGAAAUUCACCUAAAAGGAAGGCUUUUUCAGGUGCUGUUUUUCUGAAAAAACGUAUUUUUUUCACACCCCUGUAAAGGGGGGGGGGAGGCCAAAUGAAGCCCUCUUUGCAAAUGCUUUUUGGAGAAAUAGAGCUGUGUGUAACUGGCUUCAUGAAAUUCUUCACAGCUCUACUUUUGCAAAAAGCAUUGGCUUCCAAAUUCUCUGUUCAUUUCCACAAGCGACUCCCUGUGUGUGUAGACAACUUUUAAUAACAUGCAUGUGGUGGAGCACUUAGCAGUCCCGGUGACAGAGGGCAGAGCAGCUUUAGGUUCUGAGUUUGUGGAAAUGAGCUGAUCCUAUGAAUGCUUUAUCAAAAGUAAGUGCCGCUGACUUCAAUGUGACUUGGCCCAGAGCCGGCCCUACCAUUAGAGAGAGUGUGGCAACUACCUUGGGCAGCGGAAGCUGGGAGAUGGAGAGCAGCAGCAGCAGCAAGUUUUGUGUACCAUGCAACCUGACCCGUGUCUCCAAAGCUGUCUCCUUCCAACUCUGAUUCUAUGAGAGGGUGCCUCCCCAUUGCCAGUGUUGAAGAAAGAUGCAGCUGACUGGGCAAAACUUCUGUGCUUGGAAAGGUUGGGAGGUGCACCACCUUGUCCUCCCCACACCACGAAAUGUAUUGAGCCAGACCUGGACUUGCUCCCAAGGAAGUGUGCAUUGGACUGUAGCUUUAAUCACAGCACCAAAGGGGACGGAUUCCGCACCCAGAGCCCUUCACAUAAUGUUUGGUACUAUUUGUCAACUGUCGUAUUGACCCACGUUUCCAAAGCAUGCUGGCACUGAAUUGCAAGUAAAUUUAUCUCAGAGGAGGAACACUAACCUGCAGCCCUGAAAGAUCAAGCUAACUUGCCUUCUUGCAGGUAGGCAGGUAGCACACUCCCAAGGUAGUUUUCCAGGUUUCUUCAGCGGUCUAAUCUUAAAGCCUUGAUACGUAUAUUGAUAUUCAAUUUCAUAGAGAAUCAGUCUCUAUAAAAGAAGUGAGUAAACCUCCCAGAGGACUAUACAUUUUCGUUAAAAGCCACUCCCUACCUUUAGAUCGAAGGAGCUCCAAAAUAAGAAAGGUGGUCCUUAGAGUUGCACUCCUAUCUUUUGUGUGUGUGGCCGUUGAGAGAAUAAUAUGCUUCAAAAAAUAUGCAAUAGAUGCCCUUGCGAUUUAAAAGGAUUCCCCCACUCCUUUCUAACAGCAAACAAAUCUCACUCUUAGCUUCAGUGUUAAUCAAAUCAGAUAAAGAAAAGAAAAAAGUAUUAGCACAAUACUUAGCUGCUUCUUUUUUAAAUGUAUUCUCUACUAGCAUUGCAGCAGAGGACACUCAGCAGUUCUGUCUCUCAUGCUCCAUUUCAAAAGCCCCCAAUACUGUCAAAUUUUGGCAGUUCAGAGUUGGGGAAAUCCUUAGGAAAGCACCCAAGGAAGUUGUUUUGUUUCAGAGUCUUGCAGUUGAGAACCUUUUCUGAGCACUAGGGGGUGAUGGUAGGUGGAAUGGUGUUCACACCUCCUUGAUGAUGUCCCUUAAGUCACCUCCAUGACCACUUAGAUGCCCUUGGAACCCUGUUGAAGCCGGUUAGCUGAUGCCACACCACUGCUCAGAACUAAAAUAUUUCUGUACUCCCUUGCUUUCCAAGAAAUGUAUUGGAUUGUGUGAGACUCUGCCUGGAGCAGAAUCACCUUGAGUUCAGAUACUUUCUGAGCAAAUGCAAGAAAUUGUCAACAUCAGCAAUGCAUGUUCUUAUUCUUAUUAUUAGGACCUAUCAUUUCCAAUUUGGCCUCCUCAGCCUACUCAUGGUUAUAUAACCUUGAAGACAGUGAGGGAGGCUCCUUAGGGUGGGAGGAUGCUAGGUGCCACUGCCAACCAUACUGGGUUGAAUCAGAUGGGUGUCAUACCCUGUAGGUGCCCCCAGCUCAAAGAAUGAUUCCUGGAGCAAGAAAGGCAAAGCAGUGCGAAACCAGUUUUGCACACAAGCAAGGGGUUCAGGAACCGCUGUGGACACUAUCACAGCACUUCCUUAAACAGUCAGACCAGGUUUGUGGACCAGCGCUAGCUACUCUCCCUCCUCCUGCUCACAGUUCUAUGCAUCCAACCCCUUGUAUUCUGGAUAGUGCUAAAUGUGCCCCAGGCCAGCUGCAUUGUGAACACUGGCCAGGCUGUACCAGGAGAACAGCUCUCCUAGUCGGUCUCCUGUGGACUAGAACUUCCUAUGGGGUACAUCCAGGAGGUCUUCUAUCUCCAAGGUUAGUUAUGAGAGGAGGAGGAGGAGCCUAACACCAAUGGACAAACCUACCUCUAUUCCCUCCACAGGACUAGCAGAUUGCUGGUGCCUUAUGUUUCAGGCACCAGUAAGCACUUAAUUAUAUCGCGUGGAAACAAUCUGUUGAAAUAAAGUAGUGGGGUGAUGUUUUUAAGCCCCACACCCAGUUGUUGGGACUUUUAAAGAAAUUAGGUUCUUUAUAACUCAGUUGUACAUUGCUGGGACUUUUUAAUGCAAUUAACUUGCUGGUGCAUUGAUCUAGUAGCGUUUUGCCACCAUUUGUAGUGAAACCAAAAUUCCUCCCAUCCUACGCAGAAUGCUAAAUAUUUUAGUUGCCACCUUACAUGUUUGCUUCUGUUUUCUGAGGUGUUAUUGCUUUCCAUGGCACGUUAAGCAAUCCCUCUGCGCAAAUGUCAGCCUCGGAAGGGGUGACAUGCUCAUCAUUGCAUGUUUGCUUUCCUUUCUUGUCCUUUCUCUAAUGGAGGCUGCCAGUUAAGUAAACUCCACUCCCAGGUCUAUAUAAUCCUAUAUGCCCAGAGGCUGGGAGUGAGUCCCACUGGACCCAGGAGUGCUGGCUUCUGAGCAGAAAUACAUAGGGUGCUUCCAGUCUGGUCCAAUGAGUCACUUCUUUUCGUGACUUGGGAUCUGAAUGCAUAGUCUAGCAUUCCACUGAAGAAGAAUCCCAAGGCUCUCUGUGAGCCCAACAAGUGACAUUGCAGCCCACUGUAAAGAUUAAUUGUGGACCUUUGCAUCUUAGAAAAGUAUUGCACAAGCACACUUAAAAGUGGCUAGCACCUAGGGCUGAAAUUGUUGAAGUAAUAAGUUUCAUAAUGGAAGAAAUUAAUUAGUUUAAUUCAUUCAAAAACUAGACACACACACCCCCCCAAAAAUAUCAAUUUUUUAGUCAUGGAAGGGAAGCCUGUACUCCUGGAUCUGCUACAAACUCUGCGUAUCAUGCAGUUCACAGUCUUCAUAACUGCAAGGAACAGGAUAUUGGGAGUCCCAUACAUGAGGGCUCCAUGUGCUCAAGGGCAUCUCUCAUUUAUGUAUUAAGAUUUCCACAAAGGCCCUUGAUAAGCAUGCAUGGAAGCCAGCAGCAGGAGCACAUACGCUUCAAAUAGUUUUCGAAGCAAUAGCGUGUCUUUCUUUAGUCAACAGUCAUUACCAAAAUACUCAAGACAUCCUGUUUUAAUUGGAAAUUAAUUGGUUAACUCAAAAAUAUUCAUUUACUUAAACCCAUUAAUUAGUUUGCUAUCCUUGUUACUCUGGUGAAAACAUAAUGUAUUUAGUUGCAUGGAUCAUUUCUGAGUGCAUGUAGAAUGAGUUGCCUAACUCGUGUCAUUCUUGCAGGGUUCAUCCAUUUACUUACCUUUUAAAAAACAGAUUCAUUAUACAACCUACUUCCUCAAACAACUCCAGAUGAACAUGGCUGGGAUCAACACAACUUGCCCAAAAUGUAGGUCUUUGAACAGCCUUGAACGGCCAGCAGUUAGACCUGGUCAAUGCACAAACUGUUCCACUUCUUGGGCACACAGCCUGAAUAAGAAUCUUCAACGGCUUGAAAACAUGCAGUGCUUUUUAUCAAACAAGAGAGGCUUUUGCACAACCUGUGCAUAGCAAAAUCUGGAUAUAGUUGUGAAGAACAGGGCAUAUAUAUUUGAUAACGGCCAGCCCACUUCCUGUCAGGACUGCCCGUCUUCAUUUUCCACUCUGUUAUGAAACUGCUGAAAUAAACACAAGUGCUUGGGGGCACCUUUAAUUUGCAGCGUGGUGGCAUGCAUUUUCUUAUAUGAGCAUGUGAAGUUGCCUGCAGCCUGCCAGCCGCUUGUGCCACCAUCUUUUAAAGUACCUUGUCCUUUGCAGUCACUCUGCAAUUUCUAGGGCUAUCAGAGGUGAGGAAUCUGCGAGAUAUUGCUGGACUCUCAACUCCCAUCACCACUGCCCGUGCUACCUGGGGCGGAUAUCAGUUGGAGUCCAAGAACAUCUGCAUGGCCACUGGUCCCAUACCCAUAUGCUAGAUUAACCACCUGCCUUUUUAAUCAGUUACAUCAAUUUGCAUGUUACAGGUGCUUUUUGGAGAUAACACAAUUAAACGAAAGCUGCCACUAAUAUCAGUAGCAAAAGCCUUUUAGUGCUGUGCAUGCUUACUCAGAAAUCAUAGAGUUAAAAGGGGUCCCGAGGGUCAUUUUGUCCAACCCCCUGUAUGCAGGAAUCGCAACUAAAGCAUCCAUGACAGGUGGCCACCCAACCUCUGCUUCAAAACUUCCAAGGAAUCCAACCUUCAGAGGGAGUCUUCCACUAUUAAACAGCUCUUACCUUCAGAAAGUUGCUACUGUUGUUCAGCCAAACAUGUCUAGUGAGCCUUGCUUCCAAUGAAAUCUGCCUUAAGCUGCAUUUACCUGGUAGAAAGCCCUGUUGAAGUCAGCAUGGUUUACUUAUGAGCAGACUUGCAUAGGAUUGUACUGUUCAAUAACAUAAUCGUUAAAGCUUGCAGUUAAAUUUUGCUGCAUUAGCAGUGAUGCAGUGAAGAUUCAGAUGCAUUUGCCUGCUUACCCGUCUUUGUCUUUGUAGCCACACAUGCGGAAUAAGCAUUAUGGGGUUUGGUUUUCGAAGUAUAUUCUGCAGAAGUUACUAUGUAUGUAGGACGUCUGUACCUCUGGCAUUGGCAGCAUCCAACUGGAUAAUGUCAGAGCACGGACAGGAGGCCAAGCUUUAAAAUGUCACCAACGGACACUGGAACGCUUAGGGUGCUGAUUCCUUCUGCAAUAACCAGCAGCCAUGCAGGGUUUGUAACCACGAAGGGGAAAAGGUUGCAUAUUUUAAGGCCUUGGUUGUUGAAGCUGACCUUUCCCUCCCUGCCUUAGCAUGUCACCAUGCUGCUUGUAGCUGUGCAUGCAUCACCUGUGUGCAGGAUAGCAGUCUUUCCCCCAUCAUUUUAACACCCCAUCACCCUGAUCCAGUUAUUCCUCACAGUUGCACACACCAAGUACUCAUGCCUGCAAGGGAUUCAUUGUGCACUGGGGCGCACACAGAAGUCGUGCUUGAACCAGCUCCCCUGGUCUCUUCGGUGAGGGAGACAGCUUCACAUACACAAAAUGUGUGUGUGUGUGUAUGGAUGCCCCUCUGUUGGAAUUGUGCACAUGAGGAGUCCAUGCUGGACAUCUUGCUGAACAAAGAGGGAAUCUCCUGUGAGUUUCUGCUCUCCAGAAAUUUGGAAGGUGGAGGCAAGCAUGGUCUUACAAAAUACUGAGCCUGCAUACAACAAGCUGUUCAAGGUGUCUCCUCGAUUCCAGUAGGGCUGAGAUAAGCUUUAAAAUUCAUGGCUUUAAGAAAGCAAAUCAUCAUAAUGCAUUUCGUUUCGUGGUCUAUUAUGAUGGAGAAAAAUAAGAGCGUGCCCCCUCAAAAAAUAAAUUAGGGUUGUGUAUUUCCCAUUUUUAAAGUUGUUUGCUAUAUUUAAGUAACCAAGUUUACUAGAGAAGGGCAAUGGUUAUUCACACACACUCUUUUAUAAUUCUCAGAUAUAUUGAGUUUUAUUUAGGAGAUUUAGAUGAAAGUUUGUGUUUUGCUUUGCAAUUUGCUUCCUUUGUCCAAAGUCCUAAAUUCUGCUGUCAUUUACAUCUUUCACAAACUUGCAUUUGUGAGCUUCUUCUAAUCUGAAAUUAACCAGUGAUUUGGAUUUCCUUUCCUUUCCUUUUUUAUUAUAUUCC